AAAAAAAUGAUUAUUUGAGAAUUUGAAAUAUUUAUCAAAAUAUUUAUUGCUAAUGAUAUGAAUAAACAUUAUUUGGGAAAUCUAGGCCCAAAAAGGAAAAUUGGUUUGGUUAGUUUUUUGUGUUUUCCAAAGGGCAAAAUCAACUUGACGUUUGAAUUACCCACUCGGACUGGACUCUGGACUACGUAGUAGCAGAGCAGAGCAGAGCAUUUGCAUUCUCCUUAUAAUCUAUCGAAUCUUCAUCUCCAAAUCCUAAUCUUCAACUUCAAUAUGGGAAAUCGAAUUGCGAGAAUCCAAAACGAAACGCCAUGGUUGAUCUCUAUGAAGGAGCUUCGCAUGUUGGGGGCCUCAACCUCGCUGUAUGGCUACACAGUUCAAGUGAAUCCUUACGACAGUACAGAGAUUCCUGCUUCCCUAUUCCUCAAUCGCAAUCAUCAGUAUGGAAUGCCCUCUGAGAUCGUCAUAUUUACAAACGGAGCUGAGGUCAGGAGAAGUUUAAUCUCUCAGGAUUUCGUUAGAUACGUGAAGAUAAUACUCUCUGUUGAAGGUCCGUAUCUUGUUGUCAGAGGUGUCCUUCCUCAGGUCCUCGAUAUCUGCUGGUUCUGUUUUGAGUUUUGUAGCUAAAGAAUGACAAUUGAAUGCUGAGGAACAUAUGGGAUCCAAAGCCUACUUUCUGGGGAUGUGGUUUUCUAGGCCGAGAAUACAGCGGAAGGCAAGGUGUGACAAUCAUGAAAUGCAGAAUCUCCAGGCUCUUGCUGUAAAGACCAGCAUUUGAUUUGGAUGAUUUGAAGCUCGUUGAAGCUGACUUGGAAGAAAACAUACUGGGGACUAUUUCCAUUGUUGAUUGUGUGUCCAAAUCUUUGAAAUUAUCUAGUAUCUACUCCUCUCAUUUCUUUUGCUGCUUGUGCUGACUUAAACAUGUCUAGUACUUAUUUCACAUCUCAAUUAAUAGCUCUCUUCUGUAAGAGUGAAAACAAAUCUUCCUUCUUUCAAAUUGAAGAUUCUCCUGAUAUUAUGUGCAUCUGUCUGACAUGCUUGGGUAUGUUGAAUUUACCCUUUUUCUCCUUUUUUUUGUUUUGUGAUAAGUAUGCAUUUUAUUAAAAACUAGAUGGUACAGAAAAAGGUACAGUACUUAACAGCAAACUCUGUAAUUCAAUACUGCAUAUUAUCUCCUAGUAAGUACAAAAAACAAAUACUUAUCCAUCAUAUCUAAAAAUAGUGCUAUAACACCAAAAGUACAGUUUUAAUGCAUUUAUUUUUUACUCUAGAAAUCUUUAACUUCUUCCCAUCAAAGCAUGCCAUGUUCCUUUCAAGCCAUAAGGUCCACAUUAUGCAAUUGGGAAUAGUUCUCCAUAUUGGUUUUAAGCUCUUUUAACCUCCUGUUUUCCACACUUCAAACAAGCUACUAAUUUUCUCUGGUAACACCAAAGGGUAUGCCCUGCAUUAUUGAGCUGGUGAAGGGGCAUAGUAAAAAUAUUUCUUCUUUCACUAGGUGAAUAGAAACGAUAUGUAUAAUAGUGUAUGAUGUUAGAGAUUGUAAGAAAAACAAAUGUGGAGCUGGUGGUGCAAAGUAAAUAUUUCUUCUCUCUCUAGGUAUAAUAGAAACAAUAAGUAUAAUAGUGUAUGAUGUUAGAGAGUAAGAAAAACAAUGUCCAUAUUUGAUAUCAAGUAUAUAAGUAGUCAUAGCAUCAUAAAUCAGAAAUACAAGAAGAAAUGAAAGAACUGAUAUGUCAUUUGAAAGAUUCAGGUAUUAGUCCCUUCGUUGUUGCAAUCAUGAGCCUGUGAGUUGCUCUUCUGUUUUAUGCAGAUCAUUGCCUUCCUCAGAUUGACUCAUUUAACAGCCUGCAAUUAUGUGAGCAAUAGAAGUCAUAAGCUGGAAUGGUUUUGAAGCACCAUUUUAGCAUGAGCUGAAACUGGGUGGUGGAAGCAUAACUUAAAGUGAUAGAUAGAGCACUGAUAGACAGGAAGCGGUGCCACACACUUUUCUUCUUUUGACGUGUGUUGUUCUUCUACUGAUACGCUAGUUGGUGGUCUAUGAGACUAUUGGAUCCUUCCAUUUUCAGCUACAGUUCUUUUUAUCUCCUGACUGGGGGAAUCCAUGCCUAAUGGAGGAAUUAAUGGGAGCUUUACCAGUUCACUUGUGUGUCCAACUAUGCGUUACCAUCACAAACAGAAGAGCGGCAUCCGUACAGUACCAGAACUGUGUAGGCUAGCAAGAAGGAAACAGUUGUUCCAGCUUUUGCAUACUGUUGAAAGACAGAAAUUCUAUCCACGUUUUGUUGCUGCAGGGUUGAGUAUGUUCUAGGCAAAUCCCCAAUCGUACUGGCUGAACUUUCCUCAUCUGUAUCAGUAUAUGAAGUGUGUUUCAACUUUGAUAACAGGGUUGCUGCUCCUUUGAUGGUCCAUGAAUUCUGCUUCAAAUUUUGCUGCUCGCUCUAGGGUUGAUAUGAAGUUGGCACCAAAUGUAAGUGCAACCAAAAUGGAAAGGGAGAAAGGCUUCCACCAGUUUUUACAUUGGACGGGUGAGGGUUUUGAAUUUGACAGGAAAAUGAUGAGCAGGAAAAUGACAUAAAACAUGGCUAAGUGUUUUUGUGUUUUUCUAGGGUGUGGGAGAGUUUACUCCACAUGCCAUUAAUCUGAAUACUUUUGGACAUAGUUGAAAACACACACAAGAAUUAUGUUCUUCUUUUUGAGGAAAUUUGAGUAGGUACGGUUUAUGUAGAAAGUUAAAUUACCGUGUGUGAAUACCUUUGUUACAACCAAUUUCUUUGCAAGCUACUUCCAGACAAAUUAUAUAAACUGCGGUCCUUAGAGUUGCUUCUAAGGUUGAAUCUCCGAUUAGAGGAUUUGUACAUCUAACUUAAAUUAACAGAGGGAGUACUUUCUUUA
Non-coding RNA from Solanum lycopersicum (tomato), 2889 nucleotides. The record is from RefSeq and is a predicted model, not a curated record. Lineage: Eukaryota; Viridiplantae; Streptophyta; Magnoliopsida; Solanales; Solanaceae.